CAGCCGCCGCGGGAAUACGUAGGUGGCAAGCGUUGUCCGGAAUUAUUGGGCGUAAAGGGCUCGCAGGCGGUUUCUUAAGUCUGAUGUGAAAGCCCCAGGCUCAACCGGGGAGGGUCAUUGGAAACUGGGAAGCUUGAGUGCAGAAGAGGAGAGUGGAAUUCCACGUGUAGCGGUGAAAUGCGUAGAGAUGUGGAGGAACACCAGUGGCGAAGGCGACUCUCUGGUCUGUAACUGACGCUGAGGAGCGAAAGCGUGGGGAGCGAACAGGAUUAGAGACCCCAGUAGUCCCUGUCUCUUAUAA
Molecule: ribosomal RNA, 301 nt
Filed under: uncultured bacterium
Lineage: Bacteria
Description: partial 16S ribosomal RNA
Rfam family: Bacterial small subunit ribosomal RNA
Source: RNAcentral